Molecule: ribosomal RNA, 476 nt
Filed under: uncultured bacterium
Lineage: Bacteria
Description: partial 16S ribosomal RNA
Rfam family: Bacterial small subunit ribosomal RNA
Source: RNAcentral
GACGAACGCUGGCGGCGUGCUUAACACAUGCAAGUCGAACGGUAAGGCCUUCGGGUACACGAGUGGCGAACGGGUGAGUAACACGUGGGUGAUCUGCCCUGCACUUUGGGAUAAGCCUGGGAAACUGGGUCUAAUACCGAAUAGGACUACGGCCUGCAUGGGUUGUGGUGGAAAGCUUUUGCGGUGUGGGAUGGGCCCGCGGCCUAUCAGCUUGUUGGUGAGGUCACGGCUCACCAAGGCGACGACGGGUAGCCGGCCUGAGAGGGUGACCGGCCACAGUGGGACUGAGAUACGGCCCAGACUCCUACGGGAGGCAGCAGUGGGGAAUAUUGCACAAUGGGCGCAAGCCUGAUGCAGCGACGCCGCGUGAGGGAUGACGGCCUUCGGGUUGUAAACCUCUUUCAGUAGGGACGAAGCGCAAGUGACGGUACCUAUAGAAGAAGGACCGGCCAACUACGUGCCAGCAGCCGCCGUAA